RNAcentral lists this small RNA (28 nucleotides) under Bombyx mori (domestic silkworm). RNAcentral's name for it is "ovarian small RNA-2624". Lineage: Eukaryota; Metazoa; Arthropoda; Insecta; Lepidoptera; Bombycidae. The record is from RNAcentral.
CGACUGCUUCUUAACAUCGGCCACCCGU